CAAUAGCGUAUAUUAAAGUUGUUGCAGUUAAAAAGCUCGUAGUUGGAUUUCGGGGCAGCCUGGCUGGUCCGCCGCAAGGCGAGUACUGGUCAGCCGCCCUUCCUCUCGAAAGCCCCGACUGCUCUUUAUUGCAGUGGUCGGGUAGUUCGGGACGUUUACUUUGAAAAAAUUAGAGUGUUCAAGGCAGGCCUACGCCUGAAUACAUUAGCAUGGAAUAAUGGAAGAGGACCUCGGUCCUAUUUUGUUGGUUUCCAGGACCGAAGUAAUGAUUAAGAGGGACAGUUGGGGGCAUUCGUAUUUAAUUGUCAGAGGUGAAAUUCUCGGAUUUAUGAGAGACGAACAACUGCGAAAGCAUUUGCCAAGGAUGUUUUCAUUAA
This 377-nucleotide ribosomal RNA is filed under the name uncultured eukaryote. RNAcentral's name for it is "partial 18S ribosomal RNA". It matches the Rfam family "Eukaryotic small subunit ribosomal RNA", at positions 592 to 976 of the family's 1831-position model. The record is from RNAcentral.